UCAAGGCAGAAAAAUAUCCAUCGCCCGUGAUCAGGCCCUGGGCCAUGGACGGGGGCUGUUGGAGGGAGGCAUGGCUGAAGAGCACCCCUGCAGCUUCGUGGCAUGGGUCUGCAGCUCACCUGCCCCCGGAAGGUACAAGGGAAGUGGUUUCCCACAUUAUGAAAUCAGCAUUGCCUUUAACAGCCAAAUCUACCUUCAGUAUGAACACUGAGUGCUGGGAUCGGGCAGAAUAAAUAAGAAGAAAGGAUGGGAAUUUAACAUGUCAGAAAUGAAAUCUUUCUUUUUCUGAAACAAAAAGGGGAAGCUGCUGGACACAGUAGCUAGUGGAUCUCAAGAACAAUAGCACAGCAAUGAUAGCAAAAGCAGUUACCACCACCCCACCACUAAAGAAAGACUUCAUAGGAAACAUUAAAAGAAAAGAACUUCACAGAUACACCACUUUAAUUACUGCAAAGAGGUCUGUAUUUCUGAACAUAAAACAAGCAACAUCCAGCUACCGCAAUCAUAGUGAUUUUUGAUUAUAUGGGGGGAAAACUAGGAUGUUGAGGAAUUAAGGAUCCUUGUGGCCAUUGAUGUAGUGGUUUCAAUCUACUUGCAGUUUUCCCAUGCCACUUUCAACAAAACAAGCAAAAAAGCAGUAAUAGCCAUUGAAAGGAAUAACCAUAAUUAUUAUCAGGCGAUAUCUUUAUUGGGUCAGUUGAAGGUUUACCUAGUAGUAGUCAUCAUUCACACGUCCAAGAAUUCUUCAUGGAGCAACAUCAUUAAAACACAGGAAAGUAGAACUGACACUUGAGUUACAUCUCUAGCUUCUUGAGUGCCUUCUGGCCUGAGAGUCAACAUUGUUAGUAAAAGCAGGUUUUCAUGGAAUGAAAAAGAGUCUCCAGAAAUGCAAAUUGAGCCUUAUUUGGUGCAGGAUUUUCGAUUGUACAGGAAUGUUUCUUGAAGUUUAAUUCAAAGUUGGAUGCAUCAAAUGAUGAAGUCAUUCACAGGGUUUAUUUUUUGGGAAUACUGUAGAAGCUCACAUGAUAGGGGAAAUCCCUUUUCUUGAAACAUGCUUUGAAGUUAUGGGCUAAAAAUGAUUUUAAAAUAUUUUGUGUUAUGAAGACAACACGAACUUUCUUGGAGAAUGUCUUAUUUUGAUGGCUGCCUUUCAUCUUUUGUAUUCUGCUGCUUGUAGUAAUUAGGCAGUUGAGAGUGAUUUGCUUUCAACUAAUUCUUGCUGGCUUCUUGCUGGCUUUUGAA
This is a long non-coding RNA of Python bivittatus (Burmese python), 1242 nucleotides long. RefSeq lists it as uncharacterized. The record is from RefSeq and is a predicted model, not a curated record. NCBI's taxonomy places the organism in Eukaryota, Metazoa, Chordata, Lepidosauria, Squamata, Pythonidae.